CGGGACGGGUGAGUAAUGUCUGGGAAACUGCCUGAUGGAGGGGGAUAACUACUGGAAACGGUAGCUAAUACCGCAUAACGUCGCAAGACCAAAGAGGGGGACCUUCGGGCCUCUUGCCAUCGGAUGUGCCCAGAUGGGAUUGGCUAGUAGGUGGGGUAACGGCUCACCUAGGCGACGAUCCCCAGCUGGUCUGAGAGGAUGACCAGCCACACUGGAACUGAGACACGGUCCAG
This 233-nucleotide ribosomal RNA is filed under the name uncultured bacterium. RNAcentral's name for it is "partial 16S ribosomal RNA". It matches the Rfam family "Bacterial small subunit ribosomal RNA", at positions 100 to 334 of the family's 1533-position model. The record is from RNAcentral.